This 280-nucleotide unclassified non-coding RNA is filed under the name Hevea brasiliensis (rubber tree). The record is from RNAcentral. Lineage: Eukaryota; Viridiplantae; Streptophyta; Magnoliopsida; Malpighiales; Euphorbiaceae.
UUAAGAUUAUAGGGGAAAUAUCAGCCUCCAGAUUAUGGAAAUGUGAUUAUUUGGCUGCGGCAUGGGCUCUAGCCAAUCUUUCAGCAGGGCAGUUUGUGAUGGGGGUUGAGGACAAUUUGACUGUAAGGUCAUUUCCCGACUUUACAGUUAACUCAACAGGUGGGGAGAAUAAUAUGGUUAAUGGUGGUGGAUCAACAAGAACAAGGAAAUUCAGCAGCAGGAGCAUCGGGUUCAAUCCAGGAAGCUCAAGUUUUGGAAUUGGCAGGAGCAUGUAUAGGGG